UACAGAGGGUGCAAGCGUUGUUCGGAAUUACUGGGCGUAAAGCGCGUGUAGGCGGUCUAGUAAGUUGGGUGUGAAAGCCCUCGGCUUAACCGAGGAACUGCAUUCAAAACUACCAGACUAGAGUAUCGGAGGGGGUGGCGGAAUUCCCGGUGUAGAGGUGAAAUUCGUAGAUAUCGGGAGGAACACCUGUGGCGAAGGCGGCCACCUGGAAGAUUACUGACGCUGAGACGCGAAAGCGUGGGUAGCAAACAGG
This 253-nucleotide ribosomal RNA is filed under the name uncultured bacterium. Its description in RNAcentral is "partial 16S ribosomal RNA". It matches the Rfam family "Bacterial small subunit ribosomal RNA", at positions 524 to 776 of the family's 1533-position model. The record is from RNAcentral.